AUAAAAAAUAAAUUAUCUACAUCCUCUGCAGUAGCUGUAUUAUUCAUCAGAUGUUCAUAUAUAUCAUUAAUCUCUUAUUGAAUUGAAUUGGUGGCUUUUUUCUUUGAUUCUUUCACCAGCCACUUGACACUCUUAUAAUAUUCUUUUUCAGCAUCAUCAUCUUUAUGUUGCACAAUCUUUCUAUUUGCAUCUCUGACACAUUGAGUUCUGUCUGUAUGAGACUGCCUUGGAAAAUCUUAUUCAAUUGAUCACUCAGAUAGAGGGACUUGGAAUUGAUUAUAUUCUCUAUAUCUUGCAUUGCAGUCUUUGCUAUCUGAAUAUGGUGUUGUAGCUUCUCAGUUGUCUUGGAUGAGAAUAGCUGCAAGGAUGCAGUAUUUGAGCAGCUUGAUUAUGAGAAGAAAAAGAAGUCAUUUCCACUGUAUAUUCACAGAUUAGAAUAGUCAGACAGCUUUUCAUCUAACUUAUCAAGUAUAGAUUGCAG
Molecule: small RNA, 481 nt
Filed under: Histoplasma capsulatum var. duboisii H88
Lineage: Eukaryota; Fungi; Ascomycota; Eurotiomycetes; Onygenales; Ajellomycetaceae
Description: Histoplasma capsulatum H88 hypothetical RNA
Source: RNAcentral